RNAcentral lists this transfer RNA (75 nucleotides) under Rhodanobacteraceae bacterium. RNAcentral's name for it is "tRNA-Cys". It matches the Rfam family "tRNA". From Rfam's summary of the family: Transfer RNA (tRNA) molecules are approximately 80 nucleotides in length. Their secondary structure includes four short double-helical elements and three loops (D, anti-codon, and T loops). The record is from RNAcentral. Lineage: Bacteria; Pseudomonadati; Pseudomonadota; Gammaproteobacteria; Lysobacterales; Rhodanobacteraceae.
GUUCGGGUGGCAGAGCGGCCAUGCGUCGGACUGCAAAUCCGUCUUACGCCGGUUCGAAUCCGGCCCCGAACUCCA